Molecule: ribosomal RNA, 262 nt
Filed under: uncultured bacterium
Lineage: Bacteria
Description: partial 16S ribosomal RNA
Rfam family: Bacterial small subunit ribosomal RNA
Source: RNAcentral
CCGGCGCACGGGUGAGUAACGCGUAUGCAACCUGCCCGUUUCAGCGGGAUAACCCGGAGAAAUCCGGCCUAAUACCGCAUGUGGCCGAGGGAGGCAUCUUCUUUCGGCCAAAGGAGGCGACUCCGGAGACGGAUGGGCAUGCGUGACAUUAGCUUGUUGGCGGGGUAACGGCCCACCAAGGCGACGAUGUCUAGGGGUUCUGAGAGGAAGGUCCCCCACACUGGUACUGAGACACGGACCAGACUCCUACGGAAGGCAGCAG